Molecule: ribosomal RNA, 791 nt
Filed under: Staphylococcus sp. IMCC1751
Lineage: Bacteria; Bacillati; Bacillota; Bacilli; Caryophanales; Staphylococcaceae
Description: bacterial SSU rRNA
Rfam family: Bacterial small subunit ribosomal RNA
Source: RNAcentral
AACAGAUAAGGAGCUUGCUCCUUUGACGUUAGCGGCGGACGUGUGAGUAACACGUGGGUAACCUACCUAUAAGACUGGGAUAACUUCGGGAAACCGGAGCUAAUACCGGAUAACAUUUGGAACCGCAUGGUUCUAAAGUGAAAGAUGGUUUUGCUAUCACUUAUAGAUGGACCCGCGCCGUAUUAGCUAGUUGGUAAGGUAACGGCUUACCAAGGCGACGAUACGUAGCCGACCUGAGAGGGUGAUCGGCCACACUGGAACUGAGACACGGUCCAGACUCCUACGGGAGGCAGCAGUAGGGAAUCUUCCGCAAUGGGCGAAAGCCUGACGGAGCAACGCCGCGUGAGUGAUGAAGGGUUUCGGCUCGUAAAACUCUGUUAUUAGGGAAGAACAAACGUGUAAGUAACUGUGCACGUCUUGACGGUACCUAAUCAGAAAGCCACGGCUAACUACGUGCCAGCAGCCGCGGUAAUACGUAGGUGGCAAGCGUUAUCCGGAAUUAUUGGGCGUAAAGCGCGCGUAGGCGGUUUCUUAAGUCUGAUGUGAAAGCCCACGGCUCAACCGUGGAGGGUCAUUGGAAACUGGGAAACUUGAGUGCAGAAGAGGAAAGUGGAAUUCCAUGUGUAGCGGUGAAAUGCGCAGAGAUAUGGAGGAACACCAGUGGCGAAGGCGACUUUCUGGUCUGUAACUGACGCUGAUGUGCGAAAGCGUGGGGAUCAAACAGGAUUAGAUACCCUGGUAGUCCACGCCGUAAACGAUGAGUGCUAAGUGUUAAGGGGUUUCCGCCCCUU